Long non-coding RNA from Triticum dicoccoides, 1348 nucleotides. RefSeq lists it as uncharacterized. NCBI's taxonomy places the organism in Eukaryota, Viridiplantae, Streptophyta, Magnoliopsida, Poales, Poaceae. The record is from RefSeq and is a predicted model, not a curated record. The transcript has 6 exons.
ACAACACACAUGUAAACCUAACCCUGCUCUGUACCGCCACCCGACCUGCGCGCCGCCACCCCCGACUUGCGCACCGCCGGCAGAACCAGCCGGCCGGUCCCCUCGCACCACCACUGACCCUCGGUCUCCCUUCGCUUAGCCUGCAGUAGCAGAAGCGCCGUCCGCGACGGAGGAGCAUCGUCCGCCACCGAGGAGCAGCAGCGCCAUCCGCCGCCAAGGAUCCCCCGCGCCGGGAAGCAGUAGGACUGUCCGCCCGAGGAUCCGCGGCCCCGACUGCUGCUGAGGAGCCGCCCGCCAUUCCUCUUCCAACAUAGGCAACGCCUGUCCCGGUUGACUCCAGUUACCUAGCACCUCCUCCAGAUCUUAACUGAUUCUGAUAUUGCCUACACCAGGGCACAAUGAUGAAUUCUAGGAAGGAUGCUCAUGGAAGGAAAGGCUAUGUUGUCUUAACAAGGAUGAAAAGUAUAACAACAUACACAAACGAACAUGGACAACCCAGAUCUGGACAGAUGGGACCUGGAAGAUACACCAGAAACAGAAGAAAAAGUUCUCAAAAUUGCGAAAGAGCGAUAUAGAGGCUGGCGAUCAACUAUAAGCUCCACUUACAAGGCAUACAAAACAGAUGCAGCUAUAUUGGCUAAUCUGCCGGAAGAUUUACAAUCAGAAUAGUGGGAAUGGAUGAUUGACUACUUUGUCAUUGAUUCAUAAUUUCAGGUUAUCUCUAAGAUCACUCUUUGUCUACUAUGUGUUAAGGUGAAAUUGCUUUUCAGGUUAUAUUUGGUUUCGAUGAAUUGAUAGGAACGCAACCGAAAGAACACUGGUAAUCGUAAGAAAUAGAAGACAACACACAUAAUUGGAUCAAAACCUUACUCGCAACUAAGUUUUGAGAAGAGAAACUCGGAAACUGGAGAAGAGCCGGAUUGGAUUGCUCUGUGGGAACACACCCACACAAAGAAUGGAACAUGGUCUAACAGAGUCCUAGGAUGUCUAUGAUCCAAAGAACUAGCUCGACUGGACUCUAGAUCACAGACAAUUUAGUCUUGGCACUUAAUUAGGAUGGCUAAACUACAUUUGAGUCUCAUUUGAUGGAUAUUUGCUAUGAGAAUUAUGAAUUUUAUGAAUCUACAUAUUAUACGUAUGGUUUUGAAUGUUGUAAUUAAAUGCUUGUAUUUUUUUUAGGUUGCAAUAGGCUAUUGCCACAACCCACUUUUGGUUGCCACAUGUUAGCACCACGAAAAUUUAAAUUGUCGCAAUAGUUUCUCGCUACAAACAUUUCACCUGUGGUGAUACCUAUUUAUCACCACCAAAACUAGUAUGUUGCAAUUUCCUGUUACGACGACUAGAAUAU